This 253-nucleotide ribosomal RNA is filed under the name uncultured bacterium. Its description in RNAcentral is "partial 16S ribosomal RNA". It matches the Rfam family "Bacterial small subunit ribosomal RNA", at positions 524 to 776 of the family's 1533-position model. The record is from RNAcentral.
UACGUAGGUGGCGAGCGUUGUCCGGAUUUACUGGGCGUAAAGAGCGCGCAGGCGGUUGGUCAAGUCGAAUGUGAAAGCCCCCGGCUCAACUGGGGAGGGUCAUUCGAUACUGGUCGACUCGAAGGCAGGAGAGGGACGUGGAAUUCCCGGUGUAGUGGUGAAAUGCGUAGAUAUCAAGUGGAACACCAGUGGCGAAGGCGAGUCUCUGGACAUUUCCUGACGCUGAGGCACGAAAGCCAGGGGAGCAAACGGG